Molecule: non-coding RNA, 2593 nt
Organism: Podarcis lilfordi (Lilford's wall lizard)
Lineage: Eukaryota; Metazoa; Chordata; Lepidosauria; Squamata; Lacertidae
Source: the annotation of a GenBank genome assembly
CUGAGGAAGGGGAAAAGGAUACCAGAAAGGAAUGUUAGUCACAACUGGUACAAAUUGAAGAUAGGGCAGGAGUGGUUGGGGACUUUGGAGGUACUCAUAGGAGAGUAGUAGGGGAUGUUCAAGGGGCAGCUGACACAUCAUUAGAACCAGAGGUGCCUCCAUCUCUAUGGGCACAGAGGGCUGUGAGGCAUCAGGAGUAGUGGGAAACAUACUCUAGAAGAGUGAGGCAGGCAAGGGAACACAGCCCAGCUCACUAAUUGACCAGGUGGUACCAUGAGGCUUGUUAGAUCUGGGAGGAAUUUUGUGGGCACUCAGAUGACUCUAGGCUUUCUGACCCUGGAUCACUUGCAGACGUGGGAACCUGGCCUUACUGUUUGAGUCUGGACUUUGCUUGUUGUAUUGGACUGGGACCAGUAUUUGACCUUUUGGACUAUCUAGCAUUGCUCUGGGGACUGUUUGCACCAGUGCAAUGUACUUCCAGUUAUGUGAGUGGUUCAGGACACUCCUUCACCCAUUCACCCAUGUUCUCCACCCCCCCGCCUUUCAGUCACAUUUUAUCCUAUCUUCAUUUUUUAUCCUUUUUUGGUCCACACUAUAUCCUCCUUUCAAAAUAAAACAAGUAUUUCACAAGUGUUCAUCAUCAAAUGAAAUCAGUUUUAAAGAUCAGGAUAGAACAACAGGGCUCCUUUAUUAUUAGACUUUUUGCUAAAUGACUGUGACUUGGAUUCUACCUGGUUAAACCAGCUGUGCCAAGUUAUUACUUCUUUAUCAAUGGUGAAUGCUUGAUCUGAAGGCGCUCCAGGAUCUAUCCUUCCGACUCUGACUCUAUGAAGGGAUUGAUUGGAGAAUAUAAUCCAAUUGAUAAUAUCCAAGCUAGAUGCUACCUCCCCAUUCUUGUUGAAGGAUACCACAUCUCCUGCAGUGUUAUUAAAUGAGAUACUUCUCAGAAUGUGGUGGAGCUAAAUUGUAAACAGAAAAGACAAGUGUUUAGAAAAGGCUGCACUCUGAUACAGGGCUGAGCAAUCCUUUUUCCUCUGAGGCCAGAACCUACAGUGAGUGGAGUCAGGGACAAGCAUGUAGAGAGCCAACCCAUUUUCUCCCACAUAAAUGUUUUUCUCUCAUUCUUUCUGUCAGGCCUCUCUCUCCCUGUUACAUCCCUCAGGCAGAACAGUGGUGUGUGACCCCCUGCUCUGACGAAAAAUUUGCAGGCUGUCAAGGGUGUUUCACAGCCAAAGGAAUGCACAUGACAGAUAAUUAUUUAUUGUCAAGAAUAUCACAUUUGCUUCUACUCCUCUGGAUGCCUAUACAUAUAUAGCAGCUACACAGCUACACAGCUAUUUGCAGGUUUGCUGUAACAAUUGGAAUAGCAAGAAUGCUGCUCAUCUCCGUUGACUGUUUUCACUGCUUCCUGACUGUUAGUGAAAUGGUGUCUCAAUGGGCCACAAAACAUCUCCAAGCAAAUGCUUUAUCAUGUACUGGGGGGUUUCUGUUCAAACAAGGAGACAGCCAUCAUUGCUCUUUCCUCAGAGAAACAAAGACACAGCCAUCAUCGGUCCACAAAAUUAUAGAUUCAGUUCCUCAUCAAAUUCCAUAUGCCUGAACCCUGAGAGGAAAGAGCAAGUUGACAGUAUUUUGGAAACCCAUACAUUGUGAAGGAAUAAAAGUGCUCUUCCAUGUUGAGGAUGUUCAACCCGUUACCUGCCAAAACAGUUGAUUCUGAUUCUUUACUCUCCCUCCAUAUGCCAUUCCUAUGUGUCUGGGUCUGGAUGUGGACAUAGCAUGUAACGCAUGGGCGAUGGCAUAGACAGCACUGUGGAUACUGUAACUGUGCCCUGUCAUACUCAUUUCAAAAAAUGAUCCUGGAAGGUUCUCUAGCUUCUCUUCUCCUGUGCAAAUGUUCCCAUCCACCUGGUCUGCAGUGAUAUCUGGGAAUACACAAUCAAAAGCCUGUUGCCAGAAGUCCCUGAUAAAACCAUCCCCAUCUGUGUUGGAAGGGUUUCUGUGCUCAACAUACUGAUGAAAUCCUGGUGGGUCACUGAAGUGAAUUUCAAAGGCUAUAGCACCAUUGAAUAGUCCCGAAUCCCAGUUUCUUUGAUAGACAAAUGAAGUGAAUUCAAUCUCAGCUGUUGUUAUCCAAACUUUACUUUUUACAUUAUUUGUCAUAUCGUGUUCUGAUAGGUAUGGAAGCCAUUUAAAAAGUGCCAUAGAAUAAAAGUCUCCAUUGGCCACCACUACAUUAGCCUUGCUGCUCAUUAUUUUAUCAUGUAUUUUUGCCCCCUGUUGUAGCAUAUCUUUAAUUUCAGAGAUGAAACUAAAAUUGGGAAUUCUUUCUAUGAAGGCAAAACAGAUGCCAUUUUGAGAAAACAACUGAAGUACUGUAUGCACAAAUCUUUCCCCAUUGCCAUUGUCCAUUGCAGUGACCCCAAUCCAUGUCCACUUGAAAUGCAGAAGCAAAGAGAUUAUUCCCUCAUAUUGAAGGUCUUCCUGGGCUGUCAACUGGUAGAAGGAAAGCCCUGGGGUUUUAUCAUUCAUCACUGGAGCUGAGCCAUAAAUGAGCUAAAGAGGGAAUGGAGGAAGGGACGAGACAAAAUAU